CAUUAAGAGUUCUAAAUAACAACCAAAGAAUGAUUUUGUCACAUAUCUGUUUUUUUACAGGUUGAGAAAGACCAAAAGUUUAUUCCUUAUGUUUGGACUGUGAUGAGGUGGCACAAUGAAUAUAUUUCCUGGGAUCCAGAUCAGUUUUUUGGCAUUAAAAAUGUUUCUCUACCUAUUGAGGUUUUGUGGAAGACAAAUCUCACCAUUGAAGAAAUGUAAGUAUAAAUAUACUCACAUACAGAGACAUAGAUAGAACACGUCUUUCCAGAAAGUCGAGCCAUCAUUUUCACUUUAGCCCAGGACAUUCGGCUGCAGCCAAGUGACAACUCUACAGAAGCAACAGAGUGGUCUCGUGAUUUGAUGCGGACACAAUAUGAGUGGCUGUUUAUAAACAUGACAGUCACUGCCAACAAUGCCAGUGAUUUAGUUGGCCAAGACAUCAUCAUUUACACUAUCACCAUGAAGAGGCGAUCGCUCCUCUAUGUUGUCAACUUCUUGCUGUCUGUCCUCUUCUUUUUGUCUUUGGACUUGGCCUCCUUCCUGAUCUCAGACAGCAGGGGGAGAAGCUCAGCUUUAAGGUCACUGUUCUGCUUGCCGUCACAGUGUUACAGCUCAUCCUUAAUAAAAUUCUGCCUGCAACAUCAAACAGGAUCCCACUUAUAGGUAAAGAAGCACAAAAAGUCUUGCCUUCACUGAAUACUUCAUACUGUCUUAAUAAAUGGUAAUUUGUCCACAAUAGUGAUCAUCCUGCUGCCUUCAGCGGUCUACCUCAUUGGGAUCUUUGCUCUGAUGAUGGUCACUAAACGGCUAAAUAUCAUGGCAGAAUUGUACACAUUUUCAAACAUACUUGUGAGGUACAACAAAUAUCAGCACU
Oreochromis niloticus (Nile tilapia) is the source of this 874-nucleotide long non-coding RNA. RefSeq lists it as uncharacterized. The transcript has 3 exons. Lineage: Eukaryota; Metazoa; Chordata; Actinopteri; Cichliformes; Cichlidae. The record is from RefSeq and is a predicted model, not a curated record.